Non-coding RNA from Camellia sinensis, 298 nucleotides. NCBI's taxonomy places the organism in Eukaryota, Viridiplantae, Streptophyta, Magnoliopsida, Ericales, Theaceae. The record is from RefSeq and is a predicted model, not a curated record.
AAUAUUUCCCCAUACAGCCCUUUCAAAAGAGAGCAUACGAUGCUUCAAGAGACACUCAAACCCAUCACAACUCACAAUCAGUGGAAGCAAUUCAAAUGGGAACAGCGAAAACUGGAUCAAUACAGAUGCAGACUACUUCGUGCUGGAGCUAUAGAAGGAAGAAGCGCUCUUAAAGUGCGGUUAUGAUAUAUUGGCAUUAAAUAGUAAUCAUUUGGCAUUAUGUUAUAAUUUUUAACAUAAUGCAGUCAGACAAUGUCCACUAGGAUUGUGCCCUUCAACACCCACAACCUGCAAAAAU